This 466-nucleotide ribosomal RNA is filed under the name uncultured bacterium. RNAcentral describes it as "partial 16S ribosomal RNA". It matches the Rfam family "Bacterial small subunit ribosomal RNA", at positions 28 to 507 of the family's 1533-position model. The record is from RNAcentral.
GACGAACGCUGGCGGCGUGCUUAACACAUGCAAGUCGAACGGAAAGGCCCUGCUUGCAGUGUACUCGAGUGGCGAACGGGUGAGUAACACGUGGGUGAUCUGCCCUGCACUUCGGGAUAAGCUUGGGAAACUGGGUCUAAUACCGGAUAGGAGCCAUCUUUAGUGUGGUGGUUGGAAAGUUUUUUCGGUGUAGGAUGAGCUCGCGGCCUAUCAGCUUGUUGGUGGGGUAAUGGCCUACCAAGGCGGCGACGGGUAGCCGGCCUGAGAGGGUGUACGGCCACAUUGGGACUGAGAUACGGCCCAGACUCCUACGGGAGGGAGGAGUGGGGGAUAUUGCACAAUGGGGGCAAGCCUGAUGCAGGGAAGCCGCGUGGGGGAUGAAGGCCUUCGGGUUGUAAACCCCUUUCGCUAGGGACGAAGCUUUUUUGUGACGGUACCUAGAUAAGAAGCACCGGCUAACUACGUG